GUAUCAUGCACUGCAGCGAAGUAGGAGAGAGAGAGAGAAAGAUGAGGUAAAUAAAAUUGUCUUCUAUCAUAUUCCAAAAUUGUAUGAUUUCAAUAUAUUUCAGGAUAUAGCUGGACAGAGAAAAUUUACCAGCACAUUUUAGAGAAUAUAUCAGGUGUAUAUAUAUAAAAAGCUCAUAUCUUAAAUCUCUUUUCAUAAGUAUGUAUAGAACAGUUAAAAUGUAAUAAAUGAUAGAGAUAAAAAGAUAGCAUAUGAAAGAGAUUAAUCCUAUUGUCUUCCAUGCUCUUAGAAAUGAAAAAGAUACAGAACAAAAAACAGGAAACUACCAAAUACCAAUAUAAAAUUUUGACCUUGGAAAAGAAGGGAUGCCACCAAAAGAAAUCUUCAGGACAGACUAUCUAGACAUGGAAAAUUAACAACCACAUUAGCAGAGAGAUUCUAUGAAAAUAAUAUUGCAAUAAAGUAGGAAGAAGUUAAAGAUAAUUAGACAAUGUAUGGCACAAAACAGAGGAUUAUUUAGUAUGAUGAUAGAAAUCCUUAAAAAGAAGCAAUAUAAAAAUGUAAUUAACAAGAGACUGACUGAGGAUAUCUUUAGUGCAUGGAGAUAUGAUUUAUUGAACCACAUAAAUAUAGAUUUAACUGUUCAUCAGAAAAGACACAAUUAUUUUAAUUAUGGAGUUAAUAAUAAAUUCUUCAAUCUGAUUUAAGU
RNAcentral lists this long non-coding RNA (709 nucleotides) under Androctonus crassicauda. Lineage: Eukaryota; Metazoa; Arthropoda; Arachnida; Scorpiones; Buthidae. The record is from RNAcentral.